AGCAAAAGAUAAAGGGGUUAAACUGAGCAGCUGUUCUACAACCACAAGUCAAAACCGCAAACGCUCAGGAAAAAAGACUCUGUAAUGAAAUACACAUCCUGUCUAUGAAAUUACGUGUUAACAUUUACCCUGACCAACUCUUAAGUUGCUGCUGUCUUUCCUAUGGGCAUUCCUCCAGGCUGGCGGUCAUGGGAAACCUGCAUGAAGCCUAGGCAGCGAGAACGGCUAACCAAAAGGAAACUCCCAGGGAAAUGCAAUUAUUGAUGGUUUCUCGUGUAAUGAUUUCUGUGGGGAAAUCAGUCAUCUGGGUUUUGAGGUGCUAACCCCAAGCAUCUGGAACCAUUGCUAUGGUUGGUCUCAGCUUGCCACUACCUUCCAAGCAGAGCUGACCGUUCUUUCCUUCAUUCAUGCAUUCUUUUGUUCAGUCAACACAUAUGUAUCAAAUAGCCCCCGCAUCCUGUGCUCCAGCACUGAGCUAGGAACAGGCCAGGUGUGCAGAAGCCUCCUCCCUGUCUGAGGAUAGUUAUGGAAGGCUAAAUCGAACUGGGCUUUGGACAGACACUUACAUUCUGGAAGGUGGCAUGGACUUACUUUGAGAAGGCUCACCCAGUCCUGCCUUUGUGGAAAUGAGGGAACCCAGGCCCAGGCAGCCUCAAAGCCCGACUGCAGAGACAAACUAGUCAAUGGAGCCCAGAGCUGUCUAUCUCUGGAGAAGAGCUGUCUGUGAGGCAGGUGUAUACAGAAGAGAGAGAGAGGAAGGAAGAGAACGAGAGACUGCAGACAAAUAUGAACAGCAAGUGUCUCUCUUCAGCCCUCCCUGGAGCCAGGCCGUGCUUCUGCUCCUGACUUACAGUUGCUUCACUGUGCAGUGAAAGUCAGAGCUUGGCUCCCACGCCACGCACAGCAGAGUCCCAUCCCCGCUUCUGGCAUCUUUUCUCACUGUCCUAUUACACAGACCCUCCAUUCCGGCCACACACCGUACCCUGUCCCACUUAAGGACCUUGGCUCAGGCCCUUUCCACCACCUGGAAUGCUCCUGCUACCCCCACAGGGCUGCCCAAAUGCCUUUUCCAUGAAGGACACCCCAACUGGAAGCAAUUUUUCUUUUUCCUGGAAUUCCGUACACUUAGCAGUUGUGCAAGCAGCUUUGCUAGACAGUUCCCUAACUUCAAGCCUUGUUCCUCCCGUAGAUGGGUUAGGUCUCUGGAUAUUAGGGUCCCCAGAGUAUUUAUUUAUAGUUCCAGUUCCCAGUAUGGCGCCCUGUACUCUGCAGGCACCUGACCAAUGGCUGUCAACCCAGGCGCACCAACCCUCCAUAUCAGAACGCUUCAUACACAGCCUGCAGGAGGGACUAGCAGGGCAGAGGGACCUGCUUUGCCCAAUAGUGGAAGUCACAGGACAUUUCUCAACAUCAUUCACGAUAAAAACAUCUUUUUUUUUUUUUCUGCGACAUAGUCACUCACCCUCCACCUUCUUUCGGUAAAUCCUCCAUAAAACUACAUAAGGAGAAAUAUCCCUUUGUUUUACAUCCUCUGACUCAGAUACUGAGCAUUAUUCCUUGGGGUCAGCGGUGGAGGUGGAGGUGGAGGUGGAGGGGAGGAAAGAUCCCCUCGGGGAUGCGGGGAAGAGGAGAGUAUAUUGUGGAGGGGCACGGCGUUUUGCUCUUUUUUUGUUUUUUUCCUUAAGAUGGUCCUGGCUCACAGAAAGGCCACUACCCGGCAGGCGGGUGGGUCACUUCCUGUGGGCGCAGCGGGGCUACGACUUGACAGCUACAAACGUUCGACCCUCCGACUGCGCUCUCACCGGGUUCCCAGACCCAGGUGGUGGUAGUCGGGGGUGGGAGUGGCGGGAAGGGCGCCGUCUU
RNAcentral lists this long non-coding RNA (1863 nucleotides) under Homo sapiens (human). Its description in RNAcentral is "HSALNT0404821". The record is from RNAcentral. Lineage: Eukaryota; Metazoa; Chordata; Mammalia; Primates; Hominidae.